This 252-nucleotide ribosomal RNA is filed under the name uncultured bacterium. RNAcentral describes it as "partial 16S ribosomal RNA". It matches the Rfam family "Bacterial small subunit ribosomal RNA", at positions 524 to 776 of the family's 1533-position model. The record is from RNAcentral.
CACGUAGGGUGCGAGCGUUGUCCGGAAUUAUUGGGCGUAAAGAGCUCGUAGGCGGUGUGUCGCGUCGGCCGUGAAAACCUGCAGCUUAACUGUGGCUUGCGGUCGAUACGGGCAUCACUGGAGUUCGGCAGGGGAGACUGGAAUUCUGGUGUAGCGGUGAAAUGCGCAGAUAUCAGGAGGAACACCGGUGGCGAAGGCGGGUCUCUGGGCCGAUACUGACGCUGAGGAGCGAAAGCGUGGGGAGCGAACAGG